CAAUUUGAAGCCAAUCUGGGCAACUUUGUGAGACUCUGUUUCAAAAUAAAAAAGGACUGGAGAUGUAUUUCAGUGACUUUCAGGAGCAGAGGGAUCCUAAAAGCUGGAUCUGUAGCUGCAACACCUUUGUCCACAGCUGUCUUCUCACUGUGUUUUGUUGCUGUACUGGGAAUUGAACCAGGGCCACCACCGCUGGGCGAAUACUCUAUCACUGAGGUAUAUCCAUAGCCCCUUAAAGAUUUCUUUUCUUUUUUCUCCUUUCUUUCCUUCCCC
RNAcentral lists this long non-coding RNA (273 nucleotides) under Heterocephalus glaber (naked mole-rat). RNAcentral describes it as "lncRNA (ENSHGLG00000046032.1)". Lineage: Eukaryota; Metazoa; Chordata; Mammalia; Rodentia; Bathyergidae. The record is from RNAcentral.